ACUUGCUCGUAUACAAUUUUACGAUACAAUACCGGAAUCCUCUGAAGUGAAAAAAUUUCCCAGGAAAUAGGUUAGAAUACUUACAUGCCGUGUCCUGCAUACUUGUCCUGUCGUGUUCUACGAAUUUUCCAUCUUUCCGAUAUCUCCGUUAAUGUUAUAUAUGUUUGUUUAUGUUUUUCAAUUGUAAAGUAUCAGGAUGACACAUAUGU
Non-coding RNA from Cinara cedri, 209 nucleotides. NCBI's taxonomy places the organism in Eukaryota, Metazoa, Arthropoda, Insecta, Hemiptera, Aphididae. The record is from the annotation of a GenBank genome assembly.